Molecule: ribosomal RNA, 253 nt
Filed under: uncultured bacterium
Lineage: Bacteria
Description: partial 16S ribosomal RNA
Rfam family: Bacterial small subunit ribosomal RNA
Source: RNAcentral
UACGUAGGGUGCGAGCGUUAAUCGGAAUUACUGGGCGUAAAGCGUGCGCAGGCGGUUUUGUAAGUCUGUCGUGAAAUCCCCGGGCUCAACCUGGGAAUUGCGAUGGAGACUGCAAGGCUAGAAUCUGGCAGAGGGGGGUAGAAUUCCACGUGUAGCAGUGAAAUGCGUAGAGAUGUGGAGGAAUACCGAUGGCGAAGGCAGCCUCCUGGGCCAACACUGACGCUGAUGCACGAAAGCGUGGGGAGCAAACAGG